Molecule: ribosomal RNA, 482 nt
Filed under: uncultured bacterium
Lineage: Bacteria
Description: partial 16S ribosomal RNA
Rfam family: Bacterial small subunit ribosomal RNA
Source: RNAcentral
AUUGAACGCUGGCGGCAUGCUUUACACAUGCAAGUCGAACGGCAGCGCGGGGCAACCUGGCGGCGAGUGGCGAACGGGUGAGUAAUAUAUCGGAACGUACCCAGAAGUGGGGGAUAACGUAGCGAAAGUUACGCUAAUACCGCAUACGAUCUACGGAUGAAAGUAGGGGACCGCAAGGCCUUAUGCUUUUGGAGCGGCCGAUAUCUGAUUAGCUAGUUGGUGAGGUAAAGGCUCACCAAGGCGACGAUCAGUAGCUGGUCUGAAAGGACGACCAGCCACACUGGAACUGAGACACGGUCCAGACUCCUACGGGAGGCAGCAGUGGGGAAUUUUGGACAAUGGGCGCAAGCCUGAUCCAGCAAUGCCGCGUGAGUGAAGAAGGCCUUCGGGUUGUAAAGCUCUUUUGUCAGGGAAGAAACGGUAGAGGCUAAUAUCCUUUGCUAAUGACGGUACCUGAAGAAUAAGCACCGGCUAACUACGUG